This 497-nucleotide ribosomal RNA is filed under the name uncultured bacterium. RNAcentral's name for it is "partial 16S ribosomal RNA". It matches the Rfam family "Bacterial small subunit ribosomal RNA", at positions 28 to 507 of the family's 1533-position model. The record is from RNAcentral.
GAUGAACGCUGGCGGCGUGCCUAAUACAUGCAAGUCGAGCGAACAGACGAGGAGCUUGCUCCUCUGACGUUAGCGGCGGACGGGUGAGUAACACGUGGAUAACCUACCUAUAAGACUGGGAUAACUUCGGGAAACCGGAGCUAAUACCGGAUAAUAUAUUGAACCGCAUGGUUCAAUAGUGAAAGACGGUUUUGCUGUGACUUAUAGAUGGAUCCGCGCCGCAUUAGCUAGUUGGUAAGGUAACGGCUUACCAAGGCAACGAUGCGUAGCCGACCUGAGAGGGUGAUCGGCCACACUGGAACUGAGACACGGUCCAGACUCCUACGGGAGGCAGCAGUAGGGAAUCUUCCGCAAUGGGCGAAAGCUUGACGGAGCAACGCCGCGUGAGUGAUGAAGGUCUUCGGAUCGUAAAACUCUGUUAUUAGGGAAGAACAAAUGUGUAAGUAACUAUGCACGUCUUGACGGUACCUAAUCAGAAAGCCACGGCUAACUACGUG